UACAGAGGGGGCAAGCGUUGUUCGGAAUUACUGGGCGUAAAGGGCGCGUAGGCGGCCUUCUAAGUCAGACGUGAAAUCCCCGGGCUCAACCCGGGAACUGCGUCUGAUACUGGAGGGCUUGAAUCCGGGAGAGGGAUGUGGAAUUCCAGGUGUAGCGGUGAAAUACGUAGAUAUCUGGAGGAACACCGGUGGCGAAGGCGGCGAUCUGGCCCAACAUUGACACUGAGACCCGAAAGCGUGGGGAUCAAACAGG
This 253-nucleotide ribosomal RNA is filed under the name uncultured bacterium. RNAcentral's name for it is "partial 16S ribosomal RNA". It matches the Rfam family "Bacterial small subunit ribosomal RNA", at positions 524 to 776 of the family's 1533-position model. The record is from RNAcentral.